RNAcentral lists this ribosomal RNA (253 nucleotides) under uncultured bacterium. Its description in RNAcentral is "partial 16S ribosomal RNA". It matches the Rfam family "Bacterial small subunit ribosomal RNA", at positions 524 to 776 of the family's 1533-position model. The record is from RNAcentral.
CACGUAGGGGGCAAGCGUUGUCCGGAUUUAUUGGGCGUAAAGAGCGUGUAGGCGGCCAGAUAGGUCCGUUGUGAAAACUCGAGGCUCAACCUCGAGGCGCCGAUGGAAACCAUUUGGCUAGAGUCCGGAAGAGGAGAGUGGAAUUCCUGGUGUAGCGGUGAAAUGCGCAGAUAUCAGGAAGAACACCCGUGGCUAAGGCGGCUCUCUAGUACGGUACUGACGCUGAGACGCGAAAGCGUGGGGAGCGAACAGG